RNAcentral lists this unclassified non-coding RNA (1489 nucleotides) under Acanthaster planci (crown-of-thorns starfish). Its description in RNAcentral is "uncharacterized LOC110982344, transcript variant X2". Lineage: Eukaryota; Metazoa; Echinodermata; Asteroidea; Valvatida; Acanthasteridae. The record is from RNAcentral.
AGACACACUACAAACACGUGGUUGCGGCGGCACACGUGCAUGACUCGUGAGCGGACGCUGGUCGCUUUAAUCUGUUUAUUUCGCGACUUCGUGUAUCAUCAAGAAAUUAGUCUUAGAGUAAUCGCUGGCACACCUACGUCAUGACAUUGAUGGAGAGGAAGUUCACGAAGAGAAGAUGAUGGAGCAAGGAGUGGCCAAUGAGUGGGCAGCAUCAGUGGAGAGCACAGAACCUGAGAGCGGGCUCAAGAGAGACUCAAGUUCCAGUCACGGUGAGGACCCAAGUGACAGCCACUCUGACAGUGAUGAGGAGCAAGAACAGUGGAUGGAGAAAACAGCAAGUAGAAAAGCUGUCACUUGUCAGUCAUAUUUGUCAUCUGUGAAGAAAUCAUUAUUUGCAGGUAGAUUUGGCCCAGGUACUUCCUGAUGUCUUAAUUAACCCUAAAAGAGCUUGGUUACAUCGGACCACCUCAUCAAGAAAUGGGCUGUCCAAUGCUGGAUUUUUACAAAUGACUUUCCUUCUCAAGUUUUAUGUUAAUCUGUCAUAUGGUUUGACAGUCACUUGGAAGUUGGCAAUGGCAGUGGGAAAAGCAUACAUUCUUGGUUGACCUCUCUCAGAAAAAUGGUGCUGUGCCAGAACAGUAUGUUGGAUUUUCACAAAAAUGGUGUUCGAAUGACCAAAAUGAGUUAUUAAAAAAACUUCAGAAGGCUUCUAGAAAAUAUGCACCUUGAUAAUAUUGGAAAAUAUGUUAAAGGGGGUUAGAUUGAGCAAAUGGUUGCCUUGUCCCCUAGGGUUUCAUAAUUUGCUGUGCAGCACUGCUCUACAUCAAAGAAGAUGGAUUGGGGCAACUGUGGCAAUUGGCCAUCAAACAUUGUUUGGCCCCGUUCGUCCUUUUAUUAAAGUUUUUACCCGGCACAGUUCAGUUUUUCUUCCUCAUAAAUUGCCCAUUAUUACAAGCUGUUAUUAGAAGCCAAAGUGCACAUUAUGUGAAAUUCCUGACAUCCCUGUUUAGUGAAUAUUUUGAAAAGAAAAUUUAACAUAUUUUCUCAAGUUUUAAUAUGAUAGAGCACUGAGAACUUUGUUUCCAAAAAGAUUUCCAAACUAAAAUCUAGCUUAAUUUUGACAAAUAUUGAACCAACACACAAAAAGGGACCAUGUUGUAAACACUUGUCAGUAUUUUCAGUCACCAUCCAAAAUUUCCGAUUUGUAUCCAACUCAACAGACAUGUGUACACUGUUGCAAUAUUUCUGCCCACACUUUUGGGCUCAAUCGUUGAUUUCUGUAGGAGCUGUUGGUCCAUAGAUAUUUUAGGUUUGUGGUCUUCCCUGAUUGACGUUACAGUGUUACUGUAAAAUAGCGCCCUCACUUGUUAGGAAAAGGGAAAGACAAUUUUAAGUGUUUAAAAAUGUCACUUUUUGACUCACUAAAGCCUGAAGGGGUGUCUGGAAAAAUAUUAUUAACAAAGAAAACAAAUCACAAAUGUUUGUAGAA